RNAcentral lists this ribosomal RNA (659 nucleotides) under uncultured bacterium. Its description in RNAcentral is "bacterial SSU rRNA". It matches the Rfam family "Bacterial small subunit ribosomal RNA", at positions 71 to 725 of the family's 1533-position model. The record is from RNAcentral.
AGCACGGGAGCAAUCCUGGUGGCGAGUGGCGAACGGGUGAGUAAUAUAUCGGAACGUGCCCAGCCGUGGGGGAUAACGUAGAGAAAUUUACGCUAAUACCGCAUACGAUCUAAGGAUGAAAGCGGGGGAUCGCAAGACCUCGCGCGAUUGGAGCGGCUGAUAUCAGAUUAGGUUGUUGGUGAGGUAAAAGCUCACCAAGCCGACGAUCUGUAGCUGGUUUGAGAGAACGACCAGCCACACUGGGACUGAGACACGGCCCAGACUCCUACGGGAGGCAGCAGUGGGGAAUUUUGGACAAUGGGCGAAAGCCUGAUCCAGCAAUGCCGCGUGCAGGAAGAAGGCCUUCGGGUUGUAAACUGCUUUUGUACGGAACGAAACGGUCUGCCCUAAUACGGCGGGCUAAUGACGGUACCGUAAGAAUAAGCACCGGCUAACUACGUGCCAGCAGCCGCGGUAAUACGUAGGGUGCGAGCGUUAAUCGGAAUUACUGGGCGUAAAGCGUGCGCAGGCGGUUAUGUAAGACAGUUGUGAAAUCCCCGGGCUCAACCUGGGAAUUGCAUCUGUGACUGCAUAGCUAGAGUACGGUAGAGGGGGAUGGAAUUCCGCGUGUAGCAGUGAAAUGCGUAGAUAUGCGGAGGAACACCGAUGGCGAAGGCAAU